GUUGCUAAAAAUUCAAAUCGACCGAGAUUUUUGACCUAAUCGAUGCGAUAUAUCACAUGCCAGUUCAACCACGUCACUUGAGCUUGACGAAUCACCUUAAGUGCCUUAUGAAAACAGCACUAUCAGUCGUAUCUUCAUUUUACAAAUUUUAUUAAAUUACAGGGCAAUUUGCAAUGAUGAUUUUUUUUUAAAGUUUAUUGUGUUGGCUAAAAACCUGCUUUAUCCCAUGAUAAAAAUACAAGUUUCAUAAUUUGUUUUCCGCACCUCUGACUUGCAAACACUCUUUAAGCAUUUGCUUUAUUGAUUUUUAUGUACCGCUGCAGACUCCACUUCAUCUUCCGCACCUUCUUCCGCACCUUCUUUUACUUUUUCCGGGAGAAAGAAUGCCGACUGGAUGGAGGUGCUUAAUGAUUCAAUCACCAAACAGUGGAAAAAAGGGCACAUAAAAAUCGACAAAUAACCGACAUCACCCAGGAUCUCCUCUGUAUGAUAGAGUUAGAAAAAGAACUGAUGAAUGAGACUAAUAAUGAAGAGAAUGAUGAUUAUAGUCUCUACAAUUUGUUUGAGCCAGGGGCAAAUUCAACCCCGCAACCAAAGCCAUCGGGCUUUCACGCGCCAAAUGAAGACUUUGCAAGCUUACUUGGGGCGUGGAGCCGACUAGCAUUACACAAAAUUUGGGAGCUGCCACCCAGUCACAGCUGAAAAUACAGCACCGGUACACGAUCGAAGUGUCCACCAUGAUCCUGGAGUCACUCCCAGAAUAGAUUUCCAACCUCGGAGCUUAAAACGAAAGUCUGUCGCCAGUGAUUUUUAGCCAUUUCUUAUAUUUAAUCUUUAUUUCCUUUUGAUUGUUGUACAUACCAUGUGUGUGCUUUAUCAAUAAAAACAACAGAUUUAGACGCAUUUAAUUUAGUUUUGUCUUUUUUAAAAUAAAUAAAUAAAAAAAAAUGGUAGUUUUUAAAUCCAGUCUAAUUCUCUGAUCAUUACUGUGUAUGAUUCUGUAAGCCUGGUUCUUUAAAAAAUUAAAAUAUUACGUAAUUUCCCUGUUUGUUUCAUGGUAUUUAUCUAGUGCAAAAAUUUAAAAUAAAAUGGUCAAGUCGAAUGAAAGUAGUUUUCUGUUCAAACAGUAUUAUCAGUGGAAAAUUUGAAACAUAGCAAAAAUUUCUAGGAUGAAAGAUACGUUAUGCUAUUAUGUAACAAAAUCCCUCACAUUUUCGGGAGGAGCCAAGAAAAUUUUGAAAAAUUGAGUCGUCUCAUGAGCAAUUUUCUAGGGAGGGAAGCCUCAGUUUCUAUUGAGAAUAUUAUUUGCUUCUUUCCAGCUAGAAAUUAUGAAUUUCUGUUACGAGGAAGAAAAGCGAAAGAACGCAGCGCUUCUCAAUGAGAUAUCUAGGCUACAACUAGAAGUUAUUAAAUUGCGUUUGGUAAGUACACUAUUAUAAAAUUGAAAAUUUUGAAACACUUUGAACUUUUCUUAAAACUGUAGGCACAAUGACAAACUCCUACAGAAAAUUUCGGAAGUAUACCUAGAAAUUCUUUCUUAAGAUGAAGAUCAGUAAGUAGACUGUAAUGAAAUUGAACAUUUUAGAAAAACAACGUCUUAAUUUGCUAAUGGCAAUGGUGCUACAGCUACUUUUGAACAUUUCAGGAAAUUUGCUUCACGCUACAAUGAAAAUUCCUAGAAGUCUUUAAAAGAAUCUAUAGAACUGAUCAGGGCCGGAUUAAGGGUAGGGCCACAUGGGCCGCGGCCCAUGGCGGCAAAUUUUGAGAUUUUUUCAACUUAUGUUGUUGAUUCUUGAAUGAAUUCUUUAGUUUUGUUUUCAAAGUACGACCUUUGAAAGAGUAGGUACAACUCUACAAGAAUUUCUCUGAGUUUCAAUAAAAUGCAGCCUAAUUUACUAGCCAGAUAAUAAACUCUCUAGUUUUUCUGCCCCCCCAAAAAAAACCCAAAAACCCCCCAAAAAUCGUGAAAAGUUCUCUUAAUGGCCCACUUAACAUGAUUUUUCACAAUUUUCACUCGUUCCAAUCGCAAGUACGCACAAAAUUACCCGGAUACAGGUAUCCUAUGAAUGAUUGGCAAAUCUUCCCGGAGAGUUAGAGAA
This 2099-nucleotide long non-coding RNA is filed under the name Bemisia tabaci. RNAcentral describes it as "lncRNA ENSSSA3NGG000425". Lineage: Eukaryota; Metazoa; Arthropoda; Insecta; Hemiptera; Aleyrodidae. The record is from RNAcentral.